ACUGUGUGCCCCUUAUUAGGCCGUACUUAGUACAGGUCCCUUGACCCGGGAAGUUGGUGCGCUUUUUGAAGCAAUCCCAACACUGCCCCCGCAACGGUAAAUUGGUUAUGUCGAUUUGUAGGCCACUGUGUGUUUAACAUGGGAAGGUGAAUCGACUGCAAGCUUGGCUUGCACUGAUGAGUCCGGAUACCAGCCUAAUAAAUGAUUACCAU
RNAcentral lists this non-coding RNA (212 nucleotides) under Marinomonas aquimarina. The record is from RNAcentral. Lineage: Bacteria; Pseudomonadati; Pseudomonadota; Gammaproteobacteria; Oceanospirillales; Oceanospirillaceae.